UCUGACCAAUAACAAAUUUUUCCUUUUUAGAAGCCAAUUUUACACAGCAAAACCCCCCAAAGCGAAACACCCUCUCCCUUUUUCUUUUCACCCACGCACCUCCUCCACAAUCGCCAUAACUGCCUCCGCCACCAUAGUCUCUUUUUUUUCUUUUUACCAUCUCCAUCACCUUACUCCAUCGAGGACGGCGGAGAUGAAGGCAGCGGCGCCGCCUAGGGUUUCGGCGAGAACGGCGUUGUUUAUGAUGAGGACGUCGUCGAAGUAGUUGCCGACGAUUACGCCGUGGGGGGUUGAUUUGCUACCAUUGUGAGAGGGGUUGAUGGUGGUGAAUUUUGGGGGUUUUGUGGGAGAUCAUUUGUUGUUGAUGGAGGUUGAAGAUGGUGACGCGUGGUAAGGGGAGAGAGGGUGGUGGAAGGCGGUGGUGGUGUUUGAAAGGGAAGUGGUGGUGCUGGUUGAUUUGUGUAGGCGCUGGAAGUGAAGUAACAAAAAUUCUGUGGCCAAAGUGAAAAGGCAAAGACUACACUGGCGCAAACCUACGAUAUGAAUUGAUAUAUAUAAUAAUAGGUGCCAUGAGCUAUGAAUGGUCAUUUGCGGGGUCAUUGUGUAAUGGGUCAUUUGCAGGGGCAACUGUAAUGGUUAUUGUGUAAUGGUCAUUUGCCUUUAAUUUUAACUUCUAAUUUUGACUUUUAACUGUAAUGGUCAUUGUGUAUUUGAAGGGUCCUUGUAAUUGUUAAGUGAAAUGGUCAUUUAACUUCAGUUUUGACUUCUAAUUUUGACUUUUAACUGUAAUGGUCAUUGUGUAUUUGCAGGGUCAUUGUAAUGGUUAACUGUAAUGGUCAUUGUUUUAAUGGGUCAUUGUGCGAAUGA
This 867-nucleotide long non-coding RNA is filed under the name Helianthus annuus (common sunflower). RNAcentral's name for it is "hypothetical non coding rna". The record is from RNAcentral. Lineage: Eukaryota; Viridiplantae; Streptophyta; Magnoliopsida; Asterales; Asteraceae.